This 251-nucleotide ribosomal RNA is filed under the name uncultured Oscillospiraceae bacterium. RNAcentral's name for it is "partial 16S ribosomal RNA". It matches the Rfam family "Bacterial small subunit ribosomal RNA", at positions 90 to 339 of the family's 1533-position model. The record is from RNAcentral. Lineage: Bacteria; Bacillati; Bacillota; Clostridia; Eubacteriales; Oscillospiraceae.
GACGACCGGCGGACGGGUGAGUAACGCGUGAGGAACCUGCCUUACAGAGGGGGACAACAGUUGGAAACGACUGCUAAUACCGCAUGAUGUGGAGGGGAGACAUCUCCCUUUCACCAAAGGAGCAAUCCGCUGUAAGAUGGCCUCGCGUCUGAUUAGAUAGUUGGUGGGGUAACGGCCUACCAAGUCGACGAUCAGUAGCCGGACUGAGAGGUUGAACGGCCACAUUGGGACUGAGACACGGCCCAGACUCC